RNAcentral lists this ribosomal RNA (253 nucleotides) under uncultured bacterium. Its description in RNAcentral is "partial 16S ribosomal RNA". It matches the Rfam family "Bacterial small subunit ribosomal RNA", at positions 524 to 776 of the family's 1533-position model. The record is from RNAcentral.
UACGUAGGGUGCGAGCGUUGUCCGGAUUUAUUGGGCGUAAAGGGCUCGUAGGCGGCGUGUCGCGUCGGGAGUGAAAGGCCGGGGCUUAACCCCGGUUCUGCUUCCGGUACGGGCAUGCUGGAGUGUGGCAGGGGAGACUGGAAUUCCUGGUGUAGCGGUGGAAUGCGCAGAUAUCAGGAGGAACACCGGUGGCGAAGGCGGGUCUCUGGGCCAUUACUGACGCUGAGGAGCGAAAGCGUGGGGAGCGAACAGG